This 454-nucleotide ribosomal RNA is filed under the name uncultured bacterium. RNAcentral's name for it is "bacterial SSU rRNA". It matches the Rfam family "Bacterial small subunit ribosomal RNA", at positions 8 to 507 of the family's 1533-position model. The record is from RNAcentral.
AGAGUUUGAUCCUGGCUACAGAACGAACGCUGGCGGCAUGCCUAACACAUGCAAGUCGAACGAAGCCUUCGGGCUUAGUGGCGCACGGGUGCGUAACGCGUGGGAAUCUGCCCUUGGGUUCGGAAUAACAGUUAGAAAUGACUGCUAAUACCGAAUGAUGUCUUCGGACCAAAGAUUUAUCGCCCAAGGAUGAGCCCGCGUCGGAUUAGCUAGUUGGUGAGGUAAAGGCUCACCAAGGCGACGAUCCGUAGCUGGUCUGAGAGGAUGAUCAGCCACACUGGGACUGAGACACGGCCCAGACUCCUACGGGAGGCAGCAGUGGGGAAUAUUGGACAAUGGGCGAAAGCCUGAUCCAGCAAUGCCGCGUGAGUGAUGAAGGCCUUAGGGUUGUAAAGCUCUUUUACCCGGGAUGAUAAUGACAGUACCGGGAGAAUAAGCCCCGGCUAACUCCGUG